This 856-nucleotide ribosomal RNA is filed under the name uncultured bacterium. Its description in RNAcentral is "bacterial SSU rRNA". It matches the Rfam family "Bacterial small subunit ribosomal RNA", at positions 28 to 896 of the family's 1533-position model. The record is from RNAcentral.
GACGAACGCGGCGGCGUGCUUAACACAUGCAAGUCACGGGGGCCCGCAAGGGCAACCGGCGAACGGGUGCGUAACACGUGAGCAACCUGCCGAUCUGUGGGGGAUAGCCGGGCUAACGCCCGGGUAAUACCGCAUACGGUUCCCGCGAGGAGUCUCGUGGGAAAGAAACCUCCGGGGCAGAUCGAGGGGCUCGCGGCCUAUCAGCUAGUUGGGGGGGUAAUGGCCCACCAAGGCGACGACGGGUAGCUGGUCUGAGAGGAUGGCCAGCCACAUUGGGACUGAGAGACGGCCCAGACUCCUACGGGAGGCAGCAGUGGGGAAUCUUGCGCAAUGGCCGCAAGGCUGACGCAGCGACGCCGCGUGUGGGAGGACGCCUUUCGGGGUGUAAACCACUGUUGCCCGGGACGAACAUCGAGUUUCGACUCGACUGACGGUACCGGGUGAGGAAGCACCGGCUAACUCCGUGCCAGCAGCCGCGGUAAUACGGAGGGUGCGAGCGUUGUCCGGAAUCAUUGGGCGUAAAGGGCGCGUAGGUGGCGGGAUAAGCGUGCGGUGAAAGCCUGGGGCUCAACCCCGGGUCGGCCGUGCGAACUGUUUUGCUUGAGCACUGUAGAGGCAGGCGGAAUUCCGGGUGUAGCGGUGGAAUGCGUAGAGAUCCGGAAGAACACCGGUGGCGAAGGCGGCCUGCUGGGCAGUAGCUGACACUGAGGCGCGACAGCGUGGGGAGCAAACAGGAUUAGAUACCCUGGUAGUCCACGCCGUAAACGAUGGGCACUAGGCGCUUGGGGGAGCGACCCCCCGAGGGCCGGCGCUAACGCAUUAAGUGCCCCGCCUGGGGAGUACGACCGCAAGGUUG